Long non-coding RNA from Hyla sarda, 561 nucleotides. RefSeq lists it as uncharacterized. The transcript is spliced from 3 exons. Lineage: Eukaryota; Metazoa; Chordata; Amphibia; Anura; Hylidae. The record is from RefSeq and is a predicted model, not a curated record.
CACUGAGCAGAAAUAACACGGCUCCUGUUCAUUCUCCAUCAGUGAGGGGCCGGUGCUGGACACUGUGUAGGGACGCGGGAAUGCAAAGUCAUACACAUGACUGUGACUGAUGCACUAUCUCCAGGACAUGGAGUAGCAUUUCCGGACCUACAGCAAGACGUUGGAUGAAGGCAUAGCCCCAGAAAUAACACUGGUCCUGUUCAUCAGUGAGGGGCCGGUGCUGGACACUGUGUAGGGACACGGGAAUGCAAAGUCAUGCACAUGACUGUGACUGAUGCACUAUUUCCAGGACAUGGAGUAGCAUUUCGGGACCUACAGCAAGACGUUGGAUGAAGGCACAGGCCUAGGAAUCAUGCACAUACACAGAAACAUUUGCCCAAAUUCUAGAGGUAACCUCCUUUAGUAUGCCCAGAGGAAGGGCCAUACAGUAGCCAUGGAUUCCCUACAGGUUUCCUCCCCUCUGGAGGUUUUUCCUGUCCUGAGUAUUAGUUACUGUACGCUCUUUGUGAGUGAUGGGAGGUUACAAAAAAUCCCCUACACAAACAUUUUAAUAAAUUAUAA